UACGUAGGGGGCAAGCGUUAUCCGGAUUUACUGGGUGUAAAGGGAGCGUAGACGGCGAUGCAAGUCUGGAGUGAAAGGCGGGGGCUCAACCCCUGGAUUGCUUUGGAAACUGUAUUGCUAGAGUGCAGGAGAGGUAAGAGGAAUUCCUAGUGUAGCGGUGAAAUGCGUAGAUAUUAGGAGGAACACCAGUGGCGAAGGCGUCUUACUGGACUGUAACUGACGUUGAGGCUCGAAGGCGUGGGGAGCAAACAGG
Molecule: ribosomal RNA, 253 nt
Filed under: uncultured bacterium
Lineage: Bacteria
Description: partial 16S ribosomal RNA
Rfam family: Bacterial small subunit ribosomal RNA
Source: RNAcentral